AUACGUAGGGGGCGAGCGUUGUCCGGAAUGAUUGGGCGUAAAGGGCGCGUAGGCGGCGCGGUAAGUCUGGAGUGAAAGUCCUGCUUUCAAGGUGGGAAUUGCUUUGGAUACUGCCGCGCUUGAGUGCAGGAGAGGUUAUCGGAAUUCCCGGUGUAGCGGUGUAAUGCGUAGAGAUCGGGAGGAACACCAGUGGCGAAGGCGGGUAACUGGACUGCAACUGACGCUGAGGCGCGAAAGUGUGGGGAGCAAACAGGAUUAGAUACCCUGGUAGUCCACACUGUAAACGAUGAAUGCUAGGUGUAAGAGGUAUCGACCCCUUUUGGGCCGGAGUCAACACAAUAAGCAUUCCGCCUGGGGAGUACGGCCGCAAGGUUGAAACUCAAAUGAAUUGACGGGG
Molecule: ribosomal RNA, 397 nt
Filed under: uncultured bacterium
Lineage: Bacteria
Description: partial 16S ribosomal RNA
Rfam family: Bacterial small subunit ribosomal RNA
Source: RNAcentral